This 321-nucleotide ribosomal RNA is filed under the name uncultured eukaryote. RNAcentral describes it as "partial 18S ribosomal RNA". It matches the Rfam family "Eukaryotic small subunit ribosomal RNA", at positions 1470 to 1796 of the family's 1831-position model. The record is from RNAcentral.
CCCUUAGAUGUUCUGGGCCGCACGCGCGCUACACUGACACGUUCAACGAGUUUUGCCUGCUCCGAUGGGACUGGGUAAUCUUAUGAAAGCGUGUCGUGAUGGGGAUAGAUUAUUGCAAUUAUUAAUCUUCAACGAGGAAUUCCUAGUAAGUACAAGUCAUCAGCUUGUGCUGAUUACGUCCCUGCCCUUUGUACACACCGCCCGUCGCUCCUACCGAUUGGGUGAUCCGGUGAAUAACUCGGACUGCAGCUAUUCGGGAGACCGUUAGCUUGUGGAAAGUUUAGUAAAUCUUAUCACUUAGAGGAAGGAGAAGUCGUAACA